This 240-nucleotide ribosomal RNA is filed under the name uncultured bacterium. RNAcentral describes it as "partial 16S ribosomal RNA". It matches the Rfam family "Bacterial small subunit ribosomal RNA", at positions 524 to 776 of the family's 1533-position model. The record is from RNAcentral.
UACGAAGGGGGCUAGCGUUGCUCGGAAUCACUGGGCGUAAAGGGUGCGUAGGCGGGUCUUUAAGUCCGGGGCUCAACCCCGGAUCUGCCGUGCCGACUGUCAAACUCGAGGGCUGUAGAGGCAGACGGAAUUCCUGGUGUAGCGGUGAAAUGCGCAGAUAUCAGGAGGAACACCGGUGGCGAAGGCGGGUCUCUGGGCCGAAAUUGACGCUGAGGAGCGAAAGCGUGGGGAGCAAACAGG